Molecule: ribosomal RNA, 492 nt
Filed under: uncultured bacterium
Lineage: Bacteria
Description: bacterial SSU rRNA
Rfam family: Bacterial small subunit ribosomal RNA
Source: RNAcentral
GAUCCUGGCUCAGAUUGAACGCUGGCGGCAUGCCUUACACAUGCAAGUCGAACGGUAACAGGGAGCUUGCUCCGCUGACGAGUGGCGAACGGGUGAGUAAUAUAUCGGAACGUGCCCUAGAGUGGGGGAUAACUAGUCGAAAGAUUAGCUAAUACCGCAUACGAUCUAAGGAUGAAAUGGGGGUCGCAAGACCUCAUGCUCGUGGAGCGGCCGAUAUCUGAUUAGCUAGUUGGUAGGGUAAAAGCCUACCAAGGCAUCGAUCAGUAGCUGGUCUGAGAGGACGACCAGCCACACUGGGACUGAGACACGGCCCAGACUCCUACGGGAGGCAGCAGUGGGAAUUUGGACAAUGGCGCAAGCCUGAUCCAGCAAUGCCGCGUGAGUGAAGAAGGCCUUCGGGUUGUAAAGCUCUUUUGUCAGGGAAGAAACGGGUUGAGCUAAUAUCUUGGCCUAAUGACGGUACCUGAAGAAUAAGCACCGGCUAACUACGUG